UGAGUGAUUUCGAACUCGAAGUAAUGUAGCCAGUAGGCUUAAUAGUCGAGUGAGCGAUUUUGAACUCGAAGUAAUGUAGCCUGUAGGCUUAAUAGUCGAGUGAGUGAUUUCGAACUCGAUGUAAUGUAGCCCGUAGGCUUAGUAGUCGAGUGAGAGAUUUCGAACUCGAAGUAAUGUAGCCCAUAGGCUUAGUAGUCGAGUGAGUGAUUUCGAACUCGAAGUAAUGUAGCUCGUAGGCUUAAUAGUCGAGUAAGCGAUUUCGAACUCGAAGUAAUGUAGCCCGUAGGCAUAAUAGUCGAGUGAGUGAUUUUGAACUCGAAGUAAUGUAGCCCAUAGGCUUAGUAGUCGAGUGAGUGAUUUCAAACUCGAAGUAAUGUAGCCUGUAGGCUUAGUAGUCGAGUGAGUGAUUUCGAACCAGAAGUAAUGUAGCCCGUAGGCUUAAUAGUCGAGUUAGCGAUUUCGAACUCGAAGUAAUGUAGCCCGUAGGCUUAGUAGUCGAGUGAGUAAUUCGAACUCGAAGUAAGGUAACCCAAAGGCUUAAUAGUCGAGUGAGUGAUUUCGAACUCGAAGUAAUGCAGCUUGUAGGCUUAGUAGUCGAGUGAGUGAUUUCGAACUAGAAGUAAUCUAGGCCGUAGGCUUAAUAGUCAAGUGAGUGAUUUCGAACUCGAAGUAAUGUAGGUUGUAGGCUUAGUAGUCGAGUGAGUGAUUUCAAACUCGAAGUAAUGUAGCCCGUAGGCUUAGUAGUCGAGUGAGUGAUUUCGAACUCGAAUUAAUUAGCCCGUAGGCUUAGUAGUCGAGUGAGUGAUUUCGAACUCGAAGUAAUGUAGCCCGUAGGCUUAGUAGUCGAGUGAGUGAUUUCGAACUCGAAGUAAUGUAGCCCGUAGGCUUAAUAGUCAAGUGAGUGAUUUCGAACUCGAAGUAAUGUAGCUCGUAGGCUUAGUAGUCGAGUGAGUGAUUUCAAACUCGAAGUAAUGCAGCCUGUAGGCUUAGUAGUCGAGUGAGUGAUUUCGAACUCGAAGUAAUCUAGCCCGUAGGCUUAAUAGUCAAGUGAGUGAUUUCGAACUCGAAUAAUGUAGCCCGUAGGCUUAGUAGUCUAGUGAGUGAUUUCAAACUCGAAGUAAUGUAGCCCGUAGGCUUAAUAGUCGAGUGAGUGAUUUCGAACUCGAAGUAAUGUAGCCCGUAGGCUUAAUAGUCGAGUGAGUGAUUUCGAACUCGAAGUAAUGUAGCCCGUAGGCUUAAUAGUCGAGUGAGCAAUUUCGAACUCGAAGUAAUGUAGCACGUAGGCUUA
RNAcentral lists this long non-coding RNA (1288 nucleotides) under Nicotiana tabacum (common tobacco). RNAcentral describes it as "long non-coding RNA (NTAB_LNC015602)". Lineage: Eukaryota; Viridiplantae; Streptophyta; Magnoliopsida; Solanales; Solanaceae. The record is from RNAcentral.